CAAUAGCGUAUAUUUAAGUUGCUGCAGUUAAAAAGCUCGUAGUUGGAUUUCGGGUGGGAAUGGCCGGUCCGCCGUUUCGGUGUGCACUUGCUACGCCCACCUUGCUGCCGGGGACGUGCUCUUGAGUUCACGCUCGGGACACGGAGUCGGCGAGGUUACUUUGAGUAAAUUAGAGUGUUCAAAGCAGGCCUACGCUCUGAAUACAUUAGCAUGGAAUAACACGAUAGGACUCUGGCCUAUCUUGUUGGUCUGUAGGACCGGAGUAAUGAUUAAGAGGGACAGUCGGGGGCAUUCGUAUUUCAUUGUCAGAGGUGAAAUUCUCGGAUUUAUGAAAGACGAACUACUGCGAAAGCAUUUGCCAAGGAUGUUUUCAUUGA
Molecule: ribosomal RNA, 377 nt
Filed under: uncultured eukaryote
Lineage: Eukaryota
Description: partial 18S ribosomal RNA
Rfam family: Eukaryotic small subunit ribosomal RNA
Source: RNAcentral